RNAcentral lists this microRNA precursor (171 nucleotides) under Triticum aestivum (bread wheat). RNAcentral's name for it is "MIR2118 microRNA precursor family". It matches the Rfam family "MIR2118 microRNA precursor family". Lineage: Eukaryota; Viridiplantae; Streptophyta; Magnoliopsida; Poales; Poaceae. The record is from Rfam by way of RNAcentral.
UGAGACAUGAAGAUGAAUAGAGCAGGGCCUAAGAGUAGUGGGCAUGGGAACAUGAUGGAUGGCUAAAUCUCUCUUAGUUCCUCGUGCAACGCUGAAAGAGACUUUGGUUGAGUUUUCCUAAUGCCUCCCAUGCCUAUUGUUCUUUGGUGCUCCUUCCUCUUCCUUGUCGCA